UUUAUAUUUAACUGUUACCAAGUGCUUGAAUUGAGGGAAGACAGAAUACCUCGACUAAUUUUUCAGAAAUGUAAGUGGAACACAUGAGACACAGUGGAGGAUACAAAGUAUGUCUGGAAAGAGUUGUAUAUAAGGGACUAAACCUAUAAAAGUAUUCAGUAAAAUUUCUGACUUCUACAAUUAUUUUUUAUUGAAUAAAACAGGCAGUAAAUGUAAGUUAUAAGUUUUC
This is a non-coding RNA of Cinara cedri, 229 nucleotides long. NCBI's taxonomy places the organism in Eukaryota, Metazoa, Arthropoda, Insecta, Hemiptera, Aphididae. The record is from the annotation of a GenBank genome assembly.